Molecule: ribosomal RNA, 492 nt
Filed under: uncultured bacterium
Lineage: Bacteria
Description: partial 16S ribosomal RNA
Rfam family: Bacterial small subunit ribosomal RNA
Source: RNAcentral
AGUGAACGCUGGCGGUAGGCCUAACACAUGCAAGUCGAACGGCAGCACAGUAAGAGCUUGCUCUUACGGGUGGCGAGUGGCGGACGGGUGAGGAAUACAUCGGAAUCUACUUUUUCGUGGGGGAUAACGUAGGGAAACUUACGCUAAUACCGCAUACGACCUACGGGUGAAAGCAGGGGAUCUUCGGACCUUGCGCGAUUGAAUGAGCCGAUGUCGGAUUAGCUAGUUGGCGGGGUAAAGGCCCACCAAGGCGACGAUCCGUAGCUGGUCUGAGAGGAUGAUCAGCCACACUGGAACUGAGACACGGUCCAGACUCCUACGGGAGGCAGCAGUGGGGAAUAUUGGACAAUGGGCGCGAGCCUGAUCCAGCCAUACCGCGUGGGUGAAGAAGGCCUUCGGGUUGUAAAGCCCUUUUGUUGGGAAAGAAGAGCAGCAGGUUAAUACCCCGCUGUUCUGACGGUACCCAAAGAAUAAGCACCGGCUAACUUCGUG